AGAGUUGUAUCCUGGCUCAGGAUGAACGCUGGCGGUAUGCCUAACACAUGCAAGUCGUACGAGAGUUUUUAACUCUAGUGGCGGACGGGUGAGUAACACGUGAGAAUUUGCCUUUAGGAGGGGGAUAACAAUUGGAAACGAAUGCUAAUACCCCAUAUGCUUUCGAGUGAAAUGGAUUUAUAUUUAUCCGCCUAGAGAGAAGCUCGCGGCUGAUUAGCUUGUUGGUAAGGUAAGGGCUUACCAAGGCGACGAUCAGUAUCUGGUUUGAGAGGACGAUCAGACACACUGGAACUGAGACACGGUCCAGACUCCUACGGGAGGCAGCAGUGGGGAAUUUUCCGCAAUGGGCGAAAGCCUGACGGAGCAAUACCGCGUGAGGGAAGACUGCCUAUGGGUUGUAAACCUCUUUUUUCAGGGAGGAAUCAAUGACGUGUACCUGAAGAAUAAGCAUCGGCUAACUCCGUGCCAGCAGCCGCGGUAAGACGGAGGAUGCAAGUGUUAUCCGGAAUCACUGGGCGUAAAGCGUCUGUAGGUGGUUUAAUAAGUCAACUGUUAAAUCUUGAGGCUCAACUUCAAAAUCGCAGUCGAAACUAUUAGACUAGAGUAUAGUAGAGGUAAAGGGAAUUUCCAGUGGAGCGGUGAAAUGCGUAGAUAUUGGAAAGAACACCGAUGGCGAAAGCACUUUACUGGGCUAUUACUAACACUC
Molecule: ribosomal RNA, 706 nt
Filed under: uncultured bacterium
Lineage: Bacteria
Description: bacterial SSU rRNA
Rfam family: Bacterial small subunit ribosomal RNA
Source: RNAcentral